RNAcentral lists this ribosomal RNA (380 nucleotides) under uncultured bacterium. Its description in RNAcentral is "bacterial SSU rRNA". It matches the Rfam family "Bacterial small subunit ribosomal RNA", at positions 524 to 906 of the family's 1533-position model. The record is from RNAcentral.
UACGGAGGGUGCAAGCGUUAUCCGGAUUCACUGGGUUUAAAGGGUGCGUAGGCGGGCAGAUAAGUCAGUGGUGAAAUCUUUCGGCUUAACCGAAAAAUUGCCGUUGAUACUAUUUGUCUUGAAUAUUGUGGAGGUAAGCGGAAUAUGUCAUGUAGCGGUGAAAUGCUUAGAUAUGACAUAGAACACCAAUUGCGAAGGCAGCUUACUAUACAAUUAUUGACGCUGAGGCACGAAAGCGUGGGUAGCGAACAGGAUUAGAUACCCUGGUAGUCCACGCCCUAAACGAUGAUUACUCGACAUACGCGAUACACUGUGUGUGUCCAAGCGAAAGCAUUAAGUAAUCCACCUGGGAAGUACGACCGCAAGGUUGAAACUCAAAG